AGUGGGCUGGACAGCCGCGUGGGCAGGGCGAAAGGCCUGCCUAUGAGGAAAGUCCGGGCUCCAUAGGGCAAGGAUAACGGGUAACGCCCGCCGAAGGCGACUUCAGGACAAGUGCAACAGAGAUAUACCGCCCCGCUUGCGGGGUAAGGGUGGAAAGGCGAGGUAAGAGCUCACCGGCCGACUGGGAACUGCUCGGCCCUGUAAACUCUAUCCGGAGCAACACCGUGGAGGGACAUAUGGCUGGCCCGGCCGUCCCGGGGAGGUGGCUAGAGCCUGCCGGCAACGGCAGGUCGAGAUAGAUGGCUGUCAAAACAGAACCCGGCUUACAGGCCCGCUUG
Molecule: RNase P RNA, 338 nt
Filed under: chicken gut metagenome
Description: Bacterial RNase P class A
Rfam family: Bacterial RNase P class A
About the family: Ribonuclease P (RNase P) is a ubiquitous endoribonuclease, found in archaea, bacteria and eukarya as well as chloroplasts and mitochondria. Its best characterised activity is the generation of mature 5'-ends of tRNAs by cleaving the 5'-leader elements of precursor-tRNAs.
Source: RNAcentral